Molecule: ribosomal RNA, 748 nt
Filed under: uncultured bacterium
Lineage: Bacteria
Description: bacterial SSU rRNA
Rfam family: Bacterial small subunit ribosomal RNA
Source: RNAcentral
GAGUUUGAUCCUGGCUCAGAACGAACGCUGGCGGCAGGCCUAACACAUGCAAGUCGAGCGCACUCUUCGGAGUGAGCGGCGGACGGGUUAGUAACGCGUGGGAACGUACCCAGAUCUAAGGAAUAGCCACUGGAAACGGUGAGUAAUACCUUAUACGCCCUUCGGGGGAAAGAUUUAUCGGAUUUGGAUCGGCCCGCGUUAGAUUAGAUAGUUGGUGGGGUAACGGCCUACCAAGUCUACGAUCUAUAGCUGGUUUUAGAGGAUGAUCAGCAACACUGGGACUGAGACACGGCCCAGACUCCUACGGGAGGCAGCAGUGGGGAAUCUUGGACAAUGGGCGCAAGCCUGAUCCAGCCAUGCCGCGUGAGUGAUGAAGGCCUUAGGGUCGUAAAGCUCUUUCGCCAGGGAUGAUAAUGACAGUACCUGGUAAAGAAACCCCGGCUAACUCCGUGCCAGCAGCCGCGGUAAUACGGAGGGGGUUAGCGUUGUUCGGAAUUACUGGGCGUAAAGCGCGCGUAGGCGGGUUGUUAAGUUAGAGGUGAAAUCCCGGGGCUCAACCCCGGAACUGCCUUUAAUACUGGCAACCUAGAGUUCGAGAGAGGUGAGUGGAAUUCCGAGUGUAGAGGUGAAAUUCGUAGAUAUUCGGAGGAACACCAGUGGCGAAGGCGGCUCACUGGCUCGAUACUGACGCUGAGGUGCGAAAGUGUGGGGAGCAAACAGGAUUAGAUACCCUGGUAGUCCACACCGU